Molecule: ribosomal RNA, 409 nt
Filed under: uncultured bacterium
Lineage: Bacteria
Description: bacterial SSU rRNA
Rfam family: Bacterial small subunit ribosomal RNA
Source: RNAcentral
GUGCCAGCCGCCGCGGUAAGACGGAGGGUGCGAGCGUUGUUCGGAAUCACUGGGCGUAAAGCGUAUGUAGGCGGAUCAAAAAGUUAGAUGUGAAAUCCCUGGGCUCAACCCAGGAACUGCAUUUAAAACUAGUGAUCUAGAAAUUGGUAAGGGUUAGUAGAAUUUCCAGUGUAGAGGUGAAAUUCGUAGAUAUUGGAAAGAAUACCAGAAGCGAAGGCGACUAACUAGGCCAUUUUUGACGCUGAGAUACGAAAACGUGGGUAGCAAACAGGAUUAGAUACCCUGGUAGUCCACGAAGUAAACGAUGAGUGCUAGUCGCUGGGACAAUAGUUUCAGUGUCGUAGCUAACGCAUUAAGCACUCCGCCUGGGAAGUACGGUCGCAAGAUUAAAACUCAAAUAAAUUGACGG